This 253-nucleotide ribosomal RNA is filed under the name uncultured bacterium. RNAcentral's name for it is "partial 16S ribosomal RNA". It matches the Rfam family "Bacterial small subunit ribosomal RNA", at positions 524 to 776 of the family's 1533-position model. The record is from RNAcentral.
UACGUAGGGUGCAAGCGUUGUCCGGAAUUAUUGGGCGUAAAGAGCUCGUAGGCGGUUUGUCGCGUCUGCUGUGAAAACCCGGGGCUCAACCCCGGGCCUGCAGUCGAUACGGGCAGACUAGAGUGCGGUAGGGGAGACUGGAAUUCCUGGUGUAGCGGUGAAAUGCGCAGAUAUCAGGAGGAACACCGGUGGCGAAGGCGGGUCUCUGGGCCGUAACUGACGCUGAGGAGCGAAAGCGUGGGGAGCGAACAGG